ACUCUUUUAGUAUAAGCAGUACUGUUAACUUCCAAUUAACCAGCUUCGAUGAUACUCGAAAAAGAGUA
RNAcentral lists this transfer RNA (68 nucleotides) under Hoolock hoolock (hoolock gibbon). Its description in RNAcentral is "tRNA-Gly". The record is from RNAcentral. Lineage: Eukaryota; Metazoa; Chordata; Mammalia; Primates; Hylobatidae. RNAcentral also lists the same sequence under 3 other names.